UACGCACGGUCCUUGGCUAAUUAAUUCCAACUCCUUAAUUAGAAUACAUCGAUUAGUUAUUAGUAUCAAUUACGUCUGCUUAAUCAUUACGCACGGUCCUUGGCUAAUUAAUUCCAAGUCCUCAAUUAGAAUACAUCGAUUAGUUAUUAGUGUCAAUUACAUCUGCUUAAUUGUUAUGCAAGGCCCUUAGCUAAUUAAUUCCAAGUCCUUAAUUAGAAUACAUCGAUUAGUCAUUUGUACAAUUACGUCUGCUUAAUUAUUACGCAGGGUCUUUGGCUAAUUAAUCCCAAGUCCUUAAUUAGAAUAUAUCAAUUAGUUAUUAGUAUCAAUUACGUCUGCUUAAUUGUUACGCAAGGCCCUUGGCUAAUUAAUCCCAAGUCCUUAAUUAGAAUACAUCAGUUAGUUAUUAGUAUCAAUUAAGUCUGCCUAAUUA
Paramuricea clavata is the source of this 433-nucleotide non-coding RNA. NCBI's taxonomy places the organism in Eukaryota, Metazoa, Cnidaria, Anthozoa, Malacalcyonacea, Plexauridae. The record is from the annotation of a GenBank genome assembly.